This 730-nucleotide ribosomal RNA is filed under the name uncultured bacterium. Its description in RNAcentral is "bacterial SSU rRNA". It matches the Rfam family "Bacterial small subunit ribosomal RNA", at positions 771 to 1501 of the family's 1533-position model. The record is from RNAcentral.
AACAGGAUUAGAUACCCUGGUAGUCCACGCCGUAAACGAUGUCGACUUGGAGGUUGUUCCCUUGAGGAGUGGCUUCCGGAGCUAACGCGUUAAGUCGACCGCUUGGGGAGUACGGCCGCAGGGUUAAAACUCAAAUGAAUUGACGGGGGCCCGCACAAGCGGUGGAGCAUGUGGUUUAAUUCGAUGCAACGCGAAGAACCUUACCUACUCUUGACAUCCACGGAAUUUGGCAGAGAUGCCUUAGUGCCUUCGGGAACCGUGAGACAGGUGCUGCAUGGCUGUCGUCAGCUCGUGUUGUGAAAUGUUGGGUUAAGUCCCGCAACGAGCGCAACCCUUAUCCUUUGUUGCCAGCGAUUCGGUCGGGAACUCAAAGGAGACUGCCGGUGAUAAACCGGAGGAAGGUGGGGAUGACGUCAAGUCAUCAUGGCCCUUACGAGUAGGGCUACACACGUGCUACAAUGGCGCAUACAAAGAGAAGCGACCUCGCGAGAGCAAGCGGACCUCACAAAGUGCGUCGUAGUCCGGAUCGGAGUCUGCAACUCGACUCCGUGAAGUCGGAAUCGCUAGUAAUCGUGGAUCAGAAUGCCACGGUGAAUACGUUCCCGGGCCUUGUACACACCGCCCGUCACACCAUGGGAGUGGGUUGCAAAAGAAGUAGGUAGCUUAACCUUCGGGAGGGCGCUUACCACUUUGUGAUUCAUGACUGGGGUGAAGUCGUAACAAGGUAACC